Molecule: unclassified non-coding RNA, 87 nt
Filed under: Pseudomonas yamanorum
Lineage: Bacteria; Pseudomonadati; Pseudomonadota; Gammaproteobacteria; Pseudomonadales; Pseudomonadaceae
Source: RNAcentral
UGUGGGAGCUGGCUUGCCUGCGAUGCAUACAACUCGGUCCUUCAGAUAAAUCGAGGUGAUGCCAUCGCAGGCAAGCCAGCUCCCACA